RNAcentral lists this long non-coding RNA (1027 nucleotides) under Piliocolobus tephrosceles (Ugandan red Colobus). RNAcentral's name for it is "lncRNA (ENSPTEG00000021717.1)". The record is from RNAcentral. Lineage: Eukaryota; Metazoa; Chordata; Mammalia; Primates; Cercopithecidae.
CUCUGCGAUUACUGCCGCCACUGAUCAUGCUGUCACUUUCCGAGUGAGCACUUCAUCCUGCGUUUAUUCAUGCCAGAUCUGUUUUGCUUUCGUAAUGAGCACAUAUUACCCCGGCACAAAGAGGAUGAAGGCGGCCGCGUGAUAGAUAGGCGUGAGAUUAAAUGGGAUCUUUAUGACUUCUGCAGCCAUCAGUUCUGACUGUGUGAUAAGACGCGUCGACUAGGGCCCUGAUUUGCUCUUUAUUGGAGCCAAUAUUAGCAUGCGCUCACCAGUGCACGGGCUGAUCAAACCCACUUAAGGUGGACUCACCACAUAGGCCCAGCUGCAGAUGCUGCUGGGAUAGCCAGGAGGGAGGCUGCAGCCCACAGCUGGGCAGGUGGGGGUUGGUGUGGAAUUCUCACACUGCCCUGGGGCCACUUCACCCUGGGUGGCUGCAGGGAGUCCCGGGGGUGAGGUGCCCCUGGCGACCCCGGGCACAGUGGGCUGUCCUGUAUGCCUGGGUCUCAGGGUGGCCCUCUCCUUUCCCACCCCUUACCAGGCUGCCAAGAACGAUGACUCUCCCAACCCAUUCUGGGGACCCAGCAGCCUCCUCAUUGUGUCCCCAGCUCCUGCUCUCUGGCAAGGAGGGAGUUUGGCUUGUUUAGGACCCCAGGGGUGCCAGGCCAUUUCCUGGGUGCGGUCAGUGUCCAGCACCUUCCUCUUCUGCUCGGUAUCAUGGAGACCCCUCCCUCCUCCUGCUGGACAGCCGCCACCUGUACUCAGCUUCGGGCCACCGGGGGAGAGCAGCCACAUGACCAGCGGGCUGGGGCUUUUGCCCCUGAUGGGAGGGGAUGAGGAGCGCACCGGUCUGGCCCUGAGACAAACCCCAGACCAGCCCCGACUGGGACACUCUGCAGGACGUCAAGCAGCGCCCCCCAAAGCUGUCAAGGCCAUCCUAGACCAGCGGGGCCUCAGGAGAUGGUGCAGAGUCCCGGACCAGACAAAGGGCACUGGGAAAGCAGGAACCCGAAGGAAGGCUGGAAUUCAG